GCUCAGAAACUACAAGGAAUUGACGGGGCCCGCACAAGCGGUGGAGCAUGUGGUUUAAUUCGAUGCAACGCGAAGAACCUUACCUGGUCUUGACAUCCCGGAGACCCUUAGGAAACUAGGGGGUGCUUCCAUCUGGAAGAAUCUGGAGACAGGUGCUGCAUGGCUGUCGUCAGCUCGUGUCGUGAGAUGUUGGGUUAAGUCCCGCAACGAGCGCAACCCUUGCCUUUAGUUGCCAGCAGUUCGGCUGGGCACUCUAAAGGGACUGCCGGUGUUAAACCGGAGGAAGGUGGGGAUGACGUCAAGUCCUCAUGGCCUUUAUGACCAGGGCUACACACGUACUACAAUGGCCGAUACAAAGGGCAGCGACACUGCGAGGUGAAGCCAAUCCCGUAAAAUCGGUCUCAGUCCGGAUUGGAGUCUGCAACUCGACUCCAUGAAGUUGGAAUCGCUAGUAAUCGUGGAUCAGCAUGCCACGGUGAAUACGUUCCCGGGCCUU
This 496-nucleotide ribosomal RNA is filed under the name uncultured Desulfobulbus sp. Its description in RNAcentral is "bacterial SSU rRNA". It matches the Rfam family "Bacterial small subunit ribosomal RNA", at positions 891 to 1382 of the family's 1533-position model. Lineage: Bacteria; Pseudomonadati; Thermodesulfobacteriota; Desulfobulbia; Desulfobulbales; Desulfobulbaceae. The record is from RNAcentral.